This 275-nucleotide small RNA is filed under the name Peromyscus maniculatus bairdii (prairie deer mouse). RNAcentral describes it as "7SK RNA (ENSPEMG00000028649.1)". The stretch from base 1 to 184 matches the Rfam family "7SK RNA". Rfam says of the family: 7SK was discovered as an abundant small nuclear RNA in the mid-70s but a possible function has only recently been suggested. Two independent studies have found that 7SK RNA binds the CDK9/cyclin T complex (known as elongation factor P-TEFb). Lineage: Eukaryota; Metazoa; Chordata; Mammalia; Rodentia; Cricetidae. The record is from RNAcentral.
AGAGGUGAUCUGGAUCUGGCUGAGACAUCUGUAAUCCCAUUGGUUCAUUCAGAGGAUCUGGAUGGCUAGGUGGGUUUUUCCUCCUUCCCCUGCUGCUCUACUCCAUGUACAUCCUUCCUGAAACUGUACUCUUCAUUAAAGAGGAGGAUUUCCCCUUGAUAGAUGGAAAUCAUUGUAGCUGAAGUUUUCUCUGGUCCUGCUCAGCCCCACAACCCCCGCAGCUGCUUAUAAAAUAAUCACCCAGAAGCUUAUAUUAAUUAAAACUGCUCAGCCAU